RNAcentral lists this unclassified non-coding RNA (295 nucleotides) under Hevea brasiliensis (rubber tree). The record is from RNAcentral. Lineage: Eukaryota; Viridiplantae; Streptophyta; Magnoliopsida; Malpighiales; Euphorbiaceae.
GUCUCAUCCACAGACUAGUCAUAUAUACACAAAGUUGGAAGAGCUUAAGAAAAUGAUUAAGGAAGCAGGUUACGUACCUGAUACAAGCUAUGCCUUGCAAGAUACAGAUGAAGAACAGAAGGAACACAAUCUCUGGAACCAUAGUGAAAGACUUGCCCUUGCAUUUGGCUUGAUCAAUACUCCUGAAUAUUCAACUGUUAAAAUUUUCAAGAACCUUCGUGUUUGUGGUGAUUGUCAUUCUGUUUACAAGUUUGUUAGUGGACUUCUUGGGCGGAAAAUCAUAUUACGAGACCCU